RNAcentral lists this non-coding RNA (45 nucleotides) under Schistosoma curassoni. The record is from RNAcentral. Lineage: Eukaryota; Metazoa; Platyhelminthes; Trematoda; Strigeidida; Schistosomatidae.
AUCCUGCUGAUGAGUUUCAAAUAGGAUGAAACGCACAUCCUGGAU